UAUUUGGCUCAGCCCUGGUUUUUGAGGGAAAAUGUGUCGUUUUCGUUUGCAGAUUUUCACUGGGAUUGCUUUUUAUUUUAGUCUGUCUAGAGUACCGUUUGAAGAUUUGUGUUUGGAGAAACGCUACAGUAAAAACUGGUCGUCCAUUGGCUGAUUUUUGAUUAACGUGUUAAGUUAUUUUAAUUUAAUAACUAAAAUGCCACGGUCCAAGAAGCGGAAUAAUAGACAAGGAGGGCAGCACAGAAGUGUACAACCUUUCAGUGAUGAGGAGGCGUCUGUGGAAACGCUCAGUCACUGCAGCAGUUUCAGUGAUUCUGCCAGUACAGUGGAGGAAGGAGGUGAUACUUGUGAGGAGUCAACUCAGGAGGACUUUGAGUAUAAGCUAAAGGGACUCAUUGACUGUACAAUGGAUAAAUGUGCUAAGACCCGGCAGAGUGCCGUUGAAGGACUGAAAACUGCCAUGGCAAACAAACUAUUGUACGAGUUUAUCCUGGAAAGGAGAAUGACCCUAACAGACAGCAUUGAGCGCUGCUUAAAGAAAGGUAAAGGUGAUGAGCAGCGUUCAGCAGCUUCUUUAGCUUGUCUUCUCUGCAUUCAGCUGGGGUCAGGGAUUGAAAGCGAAGACGUUUUCAAAACUCUUGAACCUCUUUUGAAGAAUAUUCUCACGGAUGGAUCAGCCCCUAUACAAGCCCGACAGGCAUGUGCAACAAGUUUGGGAAUUUGCAGUUUAGUUGCAGCUGCUGAUGUUUUGGAUUUGUAUGCAACUUUGGAGUGCUUUGAAAGUCUCUUCACUAAGUCAUAUGUAAAGGGAGAUGGAACUCCUAGUACCUUCAAUGCCCAAACUACAGUACUCCACAUCAACUGUCUUUUAGCAUGGGCACUCUUGCUGACCAUUUGUUCCAACACAGAAGUGAAAAAAAUCCUAAACAAACACUUGCCUAAAUUACCAAGUCUGUUGGACAGUGAAGAUGUAAAUAUGAGAAUUGCUGCUGGCGAAACAAUUGCUCUUCUCUUUGAAUUAGCCAGAGAAAUGGAUCCUGAGUUUGAAUUUGAAGAUCUGGAACUUUUCUGUACAAAACUCCGAACUCUUGCUACAGAUGGGAACAAGCACAGGGCCAAAACUGAUAAAAGGAAACAAAGAUCAGUUUUCAGAGAUGUCCUAAGAGCUGUAGAGGCAAGAGAAUUCCAUGAUGAAAUUAUUCGUUUUGGAACAGAACGCAUGUACAUAGACAGCUGGGUGAAAAAGAGGACAUAUGAUGCCUUUAGAGAAUUUGUUGGGUCAGGAAUGAAUUACCAUUUGCAGGCUAAUGAAUUCAUAAGAAGUAUAUUUGAGCUUGGACCCCCAUUGAUGGUUAAUGCUACAACACUAAAGGCAAUGAAAAUCUCCCGUUUCGAGAGGCAUUUGUACAAUGCAGCUGUAUUCAAGGGCCCGCACUAAAGCCAGGAGCAAGUUUAGAGACAAAAGGGUGGAUUGUGGUGAAUAUAUUUAAAAUAUGACAGACUGAAGAUAUGUUUGUUGUUGCCCACCUAAUGAAGGAGGAAAUUCAAACCAAGUACAUAUUUAUUCAAAAUCUUAAGUAUUUGUUUAUAUAUAAAAGUUGAAUUUUGUAGACUACAAUUUUUAUAAUUAUGAUUUCUCGUAUUCACACCUAAAACUAGUCUAUAUAUUGAAAAUAGAAUAAAUUGCCCAGUUGUUUCAUGUUAGAUUAUCUGCUUUGUUUCUGUAAAGACUCUAAUGCCACAAUAAAAAUCUUCGUAGCAACCUGA
Erpetoichthys calabaricus (reedfish) is the source of this 1767-nucleotide RNA transcript. It is a transcript of the gene named interferon-related developmental regulator 1, with no coding region annotated. The transcript is spliced from 13 exons. NCBI's taxonomy places the organism in Eukaryota, Metazoa, Chordata, Cladistia, Polypteriformes, Polypteridae. The record is from RefSeq and is a predicted model, not a curated record.